UUAACCUUCUUAGACCUGGGAUAAGCUACUUUGAAGCUUAAUUGGAAUAUUUAGCCAUUUAUGAAGCUAAAAUCGGAACUUAAUGCACUAAGUUGUGCGAAUUGAUGCAAAUUGGGAUUUUUUCUUCGCAGCAGGUCUUCGAGCCUCGUUGAGCUGAACUUGUACCUUUUGAAGCUGGUUUGGGAGGUAUUCUAACCUGAGCGAGAGGGUGUUUGACCCUUGGACCGCCUUCGUCUGGUCUUGGAGGACCUUCUGGAAGCUUAACGUGAGGAUUGCGACCUAGUGGAGCUGAUCCUUGGAACUCCUUGGA
Long non-coding RNA from Ananas comosus (pineapple), 310 nucleotides. RefSeq lists it as uncharacterized. The record is from RefSeq and is a predicted model, not a curated record. The transcript has 3 exons. NCBI's taxonomy places the organism in Eukaryota, Viridiplantae, Streptophyta, Magnoliopsida, Poales, Bromeliaceae.